AGCGUAAACCGGGAAGCGGAUCGCGUGGAGUGAAAGUCACCGCAGCGGCUGGAGUGCAAUGGCGAGAUCUCAGCUCACUGCAACUGCUGUCUCCCGGGUUCAAGCAAUUGUCCUGCCUCAGCCUCCUGAAUAGCUGGGAUUACAGGUGCCCACCACCACUACCAGGAGAUGGACAAACCAUGUGGGUGCCCUCCAGGUGUGUGCGACCAUGAAAUGGGAGACUAGCAGGACCCACGUUGGCCAACCGUGGACCUGGUCCCUCCAGUAGGAGUCGUGAGCCAGCUGAAUUUGAAUGCAAAGAUGGAGCAAGGGCCGACUGGAGUCACACUGACAUCCACCCCCAUAACAUGGGGACAGAUCAAGAAAACAAAGCAGGAAGCUGAGAAAAUGCUGGAGCAUCCAUGUGCUUGGCCAUGUUAGCAGUAGUGUCCUGUGAGGAUUGAUUUCCAAAAACUCCUGUUACAUGAGGAAGACACCAAGAAGAGCAAAGAAAAGGAGCCAGGGUGGCUCUUCCUCAGCUAUCUCUUCCAAAUGCAUGACAAGGAAGUUCUCAUCAAGAAGGCAAGGCAAUACAGAAGUGUUCCACACAGGGACAUUGC
RNAcentral lists this long non-coding RNA (599 nucleotides) under Homo sapiens (human). RNAcentral describes it as "non-protein coding lnc-ZNF816-2:8". Lineage: Eukaryota; Metazoa; Chordata; Mammalia; Primates; Hominidae. The record is from RNAcentral.